RNAcentral lists this long non-coding RNA (3394 nucleotides) under Paramuricea clavata. Lineage: Eukaryota; Metazoa; Cnidaria; Anthozoa; Malacalcyonacea; Plexauridae. The record is from RNAcentral.
AACACGAGCCGAAGGCGAGUUGUUGUUUUAUAAAAUAACAACUUUCCGUGUUAAAAUUUCCCUUAAAAAAACUUUCCGUGUUUGGAUGGCCUGAUCCAAACACAGGUUUCGACUAAUCAGAGCACGCGUUAUAUACAUGUUAUUUUAUAAAUGAAUUUCCUUACUAUACCUUUGUGAUUAUUAAUACAGUUUAUUGCACACAUCUUCUGUAAUUAUACAUUAUUAUUGGCAUUUUAUUCUUCACUACAAAACAGACUAAUUAUCCCAAAGGCACAAGCCUUAUAGCUACUAAUAUAAUUAUUGUUUUAAUACAUCAAGUUCCUUAGAUCACAUAACUCAUACGUACGAAAUGUAUUUUGACAAAAUCACCUUGUUUAAACAAGGUAUCCGAAAUUAUAUUGGCUACUUUUUCCAAAUAUGUUUGAUUGGUCAAAUUUUGUUGGAUUCAUGCCAUAUAAUGAAGUUAAAUCAAUUGUUUCAAUUAUUGUUUCAAAGAUCUUGGACCAACUACGCGUAGGAUCAAAAGUCAGUGGUAUAUGAGCAGAUAUGUUCAAAGACGUAUUUGUUACUAAAAUGUUUUCAAAAGUUGUCAUUUUAUAUGACAUUUUCUUAAUUUUCUUGUCGCAUUACUGCAAGUAAACCCAUAUUUUCCGGAAUAUAGUAAAAUCUAUUUCAAGUUUGAAAUAUUUGAGAAUCGGUGGUUUGUUUGAUUGUUAAAAUCUUACACCAGCUUUUGAUGUUCUAAACACGAACAGGCAAGCAAUAGAAUAGAAAUAUUUUGAAACUGUGUUGCUAAGAAACAUUUUCACAAGCACAAACUAAUUCAUUCUGUGUUCGCUGAAACAAUAUUACAUUCUACCAAAUUCAUCCUUUAAAAUAAUUUUUCCUUGUUUUUUUUCUCGAUUUCUUCGAGAUUGGUUGUGUCACGAAUGGGGUGCUGAUGAAUACAUCUCUUUUACUGAAAUUGUAGUUAAGGUCAAGUUCUUUGUAUUCCCGUAAUUACAUUGAAACUCCACAUUCAUUGUUAGUUCUCGAUCGUUUUGCGGCAUCUUUUUUAACUUUUGCGAGAUUCACGAGGAAUGCUUUACUCAAGGUGAUGCUAGGUGUUUCAGUUCUCGGCCGCAUACUUUGGACUCUUGAGAAGUUCUUGAGGAAUGCUUUGGCCCCGCGUAUAGAAACCAGGUCAGGCUUUCACUCUGCAUGGCUACGCGAGAAAUUAUAUAUUAGAAUAACGUACAUCGUCAUGGCCUUUUAUUGUCGUAUAGUUAAUAACAGGAAGAUUGAGGUCUCUGUAAUUCUGCAAAUGCCACUGCUGCACAGUUUUUACCGUUCUCGUUUAGGAUUAUUUUUCUCACGCAUGAGAAAUUGUUAAUACGUGGUCAUAAAGAACGCUUUGACUUUCACUAUUAACUUUUUAAUUUUCACAAUCAUGCAAUCCAUACGUACAAUUUUCCAGGACCCAGCGUAAUGAUUUGAGUAAUAGUACUACUGUCUUGUACUCGUCUUCGAAUCUUCAGUCUAUACUUUUUCGUUAACAUCUAACUCAUGAUUAGUCAACGAUCGUCGAGACAUAUCGUUAGAUAGGAUGAUGUUAUUUCGCCAUAGCUAUAUAUUAGCUACGUCUUGCUCUUAAAAACAAAAUCUGCAUUUUCGGUAUCGUCUUCUUUUCCCACAUGUAUUCUUUUAGAUUUUGGAGCACGGGCGUCCUGCACGUGACAAUGAAGUUAACUUUUAAAUGUUGCUGCCAACGGUACUUUCAUACAGUUUUCAUGCGCACUUGACCAUAAAAGACGUAGUUGUAAGACCAUUAGGCCUAUACAUUUAGUCAUCAAUUGCAUGUGAUUCUUGUAUUUCAAUUAUUUUAACAGCCAAAUCUAUUAUGUGGUAGAAUGCAAUUUUGUUAUAGCCAACGAAGCAAAGUAAUUAGUUCCAGUACGGAAAGGAUAAUAUAGAAAGGUCUCAUUUUAUAGGCACCAUGUCUAUGAGGUGAGUGUUAAUCUGUUGCUUGGUUGUUUCUGGAAUGAUAGAACACCAGUCAAAUGUGAAAAUUUUCUCACAUUAUUUUCUCACCGGUGAAGUUUUAGUUGUACAAGAAUUGAUAAGAAAAGUGCACAUAGACCACGAACUGUCUUUACAUUCUUCACUGGGACUAAUUUGACAGUAUCGACGUCUUUCAACUAUAUAUUUUCAGACCACUGAUUUUCCAUUCACUUAUGUGAAGACAAGUCUUCGAGCCAAGAUAACCAACAUUUUUGCCAAAACAAUACGGUAUGAUUUAACUAACCAACAAUUAUCAGUAAAAAGUUUCCAAUAUUUAAAAGAAACUUCCCAUAAUUUCAUGUGGAAAUUAUGACUAUUGUUUUGUACAACGAAAAUACUGCACACUGUAGACUUGCAAUACGAUUAACAUUUCUAUAGCGCAAAUUUGCAUGACAAUUAUUGUGGAUAUGUAAAUUUGCGCUAUAUAGAAAUGUUCGUUAAUUUAAGCCCAUUUUCCACUAUAGGGCCUAGGCGAAUUUGUUCGCGCGAAGUGAAGUGAAAAACAAAUCUUAGCAAUGUGAUUGGUCAGCGAAAAAAUUCGCCAUGAAAAAGUUGGAUCAGUUCCUACUUUUUUACUGUUCGCGCGGACAAAUCCCUUAGUGGAAAAUGGGCUUAUAUAUAAAGCCCGUUCUCCACUAGGCGAAUUUUUUCGCGCGAUGCGAAGCGAAAAACAAAUCUUGGCAAUGUGAUUGGUCAGCGAAAAAAUUCGCCGCGAAAAAGUUGGAUCAGUUCCUACUUUUUUACUGUUCGCGCGAACAAAUUCGCCUAGUGGAGAGUCUUGGCUCCUCCGUAGGUAUAUUUUGUGGCCACAGUGACCCAUGAACUAGAUGUCGCGGAGGAAGGAGGCUAUGGGCUGAUCUUGGCUCAAGAGUUUAAAUUAAGUUACAUGGCAUAAUUAAUUGUCAUGUCAAUAAAGUAAACUGUACAUUGCAAUACUACUACUUCUAUAUAUAUGAAUUGAGCCUUAAUUCUAAAUCGCUGAAUACUUUAUUUUAUAGCUAUCUGUUUUAUUCAAAAUUUAACCGAAUAGGUUGUUUAUUGUUAUGUGAAACUGGUUAUUUUAAUAUAAAGUAUUCUCUCUGAUCCGGUUAGUUGCCAGCUUAAGCAAGCGACGUUUUUGUCAACGCGGACGUCAGAUUGCCGGGGGGACUGGAUUAAUAAUUGUGUUUGUGUCAGUUUGUGGUAAUGUUCAACACAUAUGACAAAACAUAAGUUUUUUGCUUCCUUAAACCAGUGCUGUGAUGCACAGUGCCGCCAAAUUUAGUUAAACCAAUCUUUGGGUGACGUCGGUGUUGAAAAAACGUCGCUUGUUUAAGCUCAUCAUGGGCGUACCAGACGGCAGCCCCCCUCCCCC